This 69-nucleotide transfer RNA is filed under the name Sphaerodactylus townsendi. RNAcentral describes it as "tRNA-Val". It matches the Rfam family "tRNA". From Rfam's summary of the family: Transfer RNA (tRNA) molecules are approximately 80 nucleotides in length. Lineage: Eukaryota; Metazoa; Chordata; Lepidosauria; Squamata; Sphaerodactylidae. The record is from RNAcentral.
GCUGUGGCUCAGGGGUAGAGCAUCUGCUUCACAUACAGAAGGCCCCUGGUUUGAUCCCCAGCAUCUCCA